This 251-nucleotide ribosomal RNA is filed under the name uncultured bacterium. RNAcentral's name for it is "partial 16S ribosomal RNA". It matches the Rfam family "Bacterial small subunit ribosomal RNA", at positions 524 to 776 of the family's 1533-position model. The record is from RNAcentral.
UACGGGGGGGCAAGCGUUGUUCGGAAUUACUGGGCGUAAAGGCGCGUAGGCGGCCUUCUAAGUCAGACGUGAAAUCCCCGGCUUAACCUGGGAACUGCGUCUGAUACUGGGAGGCUUGAGUAUGGGAGAGGGAUGUAGAAUUCCAGGUGUAGCGGUGAAAUGACGUAGAUAUCUGGAGGAAUACCGGUGGCGAAGGCGGCAUCCUGGACCAUAACUGACGCUGAGGCGGCGAAAGCUAGGGAGCAAACGGG